CCUACGGGAGGCUGCAGUGAGGCAUAUUGGUCAAUGGACGAGAGUCUGAACCAGCCAAGUAGCGUGAAGGAUGACUGCCCUAUGGGUUGUAAACUUCUUUUAUAUGGGAAUAAAACGUUCCACGUGUGGGAUUUUGUAUGUACCAUAUGAAUAAGGAUCGGCUAACUCCGUGCCAGCAGCCGCGGUAAUACGGAGGAUCCGAGCGUUUUCCGGAUUUAUUGGGUUUAAAGGGAGCGUAGGUGGAUUGUUAAGUCAGUUGUGAAAGUUUGCGGCUCAACCGUAAAAUUGCAGUUGAAACUGGCAGUCUUGAGUACAGUAGAGGUGGGCGGAAUUCGUGGUGUAGCGGUGAAAUGCUUAGAUAUCACGAAGAACUCCGAUUGCGAAGGCAGUUCACUGGACUGCAACUGACACUGAGGCUCGAAAGUGUGGGUAUCAAACAGGAUUAGAUACCCGAGUAGUC
RNAcentral lists this ribosomal RNA (460 nucleotides) under uncultured bacterium. Its description in RNAcentral is "partial 16S ribosomal RNA". It matches the Rfam family "Bacterial small subunit ribosomal RNA", at positions 338 to 795 of the family's 1533-position model. The record is from RNAcentral.